This 253-nucleotide ribosomal RNA is filed under the name uncultured bacterium. RNAcentral describes it as "partial 16S ribosomal RNA". It matches the Rfam family "Bacterial small subunit ribosomal RNA", at positions 524 to 776 of the family's 1533-position model. The record is from RNAcentral.
UACAGGGGUUGCAAGCGUUGUUCGAAAUUACUGGGCGUAAAGCGCACGUAGGUUGUGAAGUAAGUCUUGUGUGAAAUCUCCGGGCUCAACUCGGAAACUGCAUGGGAAACUACUUUGCUAGAGGAUGUGAGAGGAUAGCGGAAUUCCCAGUGUAGUGGUGAAAUACGUAGAUAUUGGGAGGAACACCGGAGGCGAAAGCGGCUAUCUGGCACAUUUCUGACGCUGAGGUGCGAAAGCGUGGGGAGCAAACAGG